This 696-nucleotide long non-coding RNA is filed under the name Setaria viridis. Its description in RNAcentral is "long non-coding RNA (SVIR_LNC002605)". The record is from RNAcentral. Lineage: Eukaryota; Viridiplantae; Streptophyta; Magnoliopsida; Poales; Poaceae.
CAGAGCCCAUGCCACAUCCUGAGCCUAAACCUGAACCAAAGCCCAUGCCGGAGCCAAAGCCAAUGCCACAUCCAGAGCCGAAACCUGAGCCCAUGCCUCACCCUGAACCGAAACCUGAGCCAAAGCCCGAACCUAAGCCUGAGCCAAAACCCAUGCCCGAGCCAAAACCUGAACCAAAACCCAUGCCCGAGCCUAAGCCGGAACCUAAGCCUGAGCCAAAACCUGAACCAAAACCUAAGCCCGAGCCAAAACCUGAACCAAAACCUAAGCCUGAGCCAAAACCCAUGCCCGAGCCGAAACCUGAACCAAAACCCAUGCCCGAGCCUAAGCCUGAGCCAACACCCGUGCCCGAGCCAAAGCCGGAACCUAAGCCCGAGCCGAAACCCAUGCCCGAGCCAAAACCCAAGCCCGAGCCCAAGCCGGAACCCAAGCCCGAGCCGGAACCCAAGCCCGAGCCGGAACCCAAGCCCGAGCCAAAGCCGGAACCUAAGCCCGAGCCAAAGCCGGAACCUAAGCCCGAGCCGAAACCCAAGCCUGAGCCAAAGCCCGAACCGAAGCCAAAGCCCGAGCCAAAGCCGAAGCCGGAACCUAAACCCGAGCCCAAGCCUGAACCAGAGCCGAAGCCGUAUCCUAAGCCGGAACCAAAACCCAAGCCAGAACCUAAGCCCGAACCCAAGCCCAAACCCGAGCCCAAGC